Molecule: ribosomal RNA, 492 nt
Filed under: uncultured bacterium
Lineage: Bacteria
Description: partial 16S ribosomal RNA
Rfam family: Bacterial small subunit ribosomal RNA
Source: RNAcentral
AGUGAACGCUGGCGGUAGGCCUAACACAUGCAAGUCGAACGGCAGCACAGUAAGAGCUUGCUCUUACGGGUGGCGAGUGGCGGACGGGUGAGGAAUACAUCGGAAUCUACUUUUUCGUGGGGGAUAACGUAGGGAAACUUACGCUAAUACCGCAUACGACCUACGGGUGAAAGCAGGGGAUCUUCGGACCUUGCGCGAUUGAAUGAGCCGCUGUCGGAUUAGCUAGUUGGCGGGGUAAAGGCCCACCAAGGCGACGAUCCGUAGCUGGUCUGAGAGGAUGAUCAGCCACACUGGAACUGGGACACGGUCCAGGCUACUAAGGGAGGCAGCAGUGGGGAAUAUUGGACAAUGGGCGCAAGCCUGAUCCAGCCAUACCGCGUGGGUGAAGAAGGCCUUCGGGUUGUAAAGCCCUUUUGUUGGGAAAGAAAAGCAGCAGGUUAAUACCCCGCUGUUCUGACGGUACCCAAAGAAUAAGCACCGGCUAACUUCGUG